AGCGAACGCUGGCGGCAGGCCUAACACAUGCAAGUCGAACGAACUCUUCGGAGUUAGUGGCGGACGGGUGAGUAACACGUGGGAACGUGCCUUUUGGUUCGGAAUAACUCAGGGAAACUUGUGCUAAUACCGAAUGUGCCCUUCGGGGGAAAGAUUUAUCGCCAUUAGAGCGGCCCGCGUCUGAUUAGCUAGUUGGUGAGGUAACGGCUCACCAAGGCGACGAUCAGUAGCUGGUCUGAGAGGAUGACCAGCCACACUGGGACUGAGACACGGCCCAGACUCCUACGGGAGGCAGCAGUGGGGAAUCUUGCGAAAUGGGCGAAAGCAUGACGCAGCCAUGCCGGGUGAAUGAUGAAGGUCUUAGGAUUGUAAAAUUCUUUCACCGGGGACGAUAAUGACGGUACCCGGAGAAGAAGCCCCGGCUAACUUCGUG
RNAcentral lists this ribosomal RNA (433 nucleotides) under uncultured bacterium. RNAcentral's name for it is "partial 16S ribosomal RNA". It matches the Rfam family "Bacterial small subunit ribosomal RNA", at positions 29 to 507 of the family's 1533-position model. The record is from RNAcentral.